UGGGGAAUAUUGGACAAUGGGGGGAACCCUGAUCCAGCGAUGCCGCGUGGGUGAAGAAGGCCUUCGGGUUGUAAAGCCCUUUAGGUUGGGAAGAAGUAUGCUUAUUGAUAAGGUAAGUAUAUUGACGGUACUGACAGAAUAAGCACCGGCAAACUCUGUGCCAGCAGCCGCGGUAAUACAGAGGGUGCGAGCGUUAAUCGGAGUUACUGGGCGUAAAGGGCGCGUAGGCGGUGAGAUGUGAGUGAUGUGAAAGCCCUGGGCUUAACCUAGGAAGAGCAUCGCUGACUAUCUGACUGGAGUAUAAGAGAGGGUGGCGGAAUUUCCGGUGUAGCGGUGAAAUGCGUAGAGAUCGGAAGGAACGUCGAUGGCGAAGGCAGCCACCUGGCGAAAUACUGACGCUGAGGCGCGAAAGCGUGGGUAGCGAACAGG
This 429-nucleotide ribosomal RNA is filed under the name uncultured bacterium. Its description in RNAcentral is "bacterial SSU rRNA". It matches the Rfam family "Bacterial small subunit ribosomal RNA", at positions 355 to 776 of the family's 1533-position model. The record is from RNAcentral.